Molecule: ribosomal RNA, 217 nt
Filed under: uncultured bacterium
Lineage: Bacteria
Description: partial 16S ribosomal RNA
Rfam family: Bacterial small subunit ribosomal RNA
Source: RNAcentral
GUUCUCAGUUCGGAUUGUAGGCUGCAACUCGCCUACAUGAAGUCGGAAUCGCUAGUAAUCGCGGAUCAGCAUGCCGCGGUGAAUACGUUCCCGGGCCUUGUACACACCGCCCGUCACACCAUGAGAGUUUGUAACACCCAAAGCCGGUGGGGUAACCUUUUGGGGCCAGCCGUCUAAGGUGGGACAGAUGAUUGGGGUGAAGUCGUAACAAGGUAGC